Gadus chalcogrammus (walleye pollock) is the source of this 572-nucleotide long non-coding RNA. RefSeq lists it as uncharacterized. The record is from RefSeq and is a predicted model, not a curated record. NCBI's taxonomy places the organism in Eukaryota, Metazoa, Chordata, Actinopteri, Gadiformes, Gadidae. The transcript has 5 exons.
UUUUUCUGGGUGUCAGUGACGUGGGGGGUAUUUAACCACCUCGACCUGCAGACAGUGUCUUACAGUAGUAGAGCCUCCUCGACCUGCACACAGUGUCUUACAGUACUAAAGCCUCGGGAAGCAAAGGUGAACAACAUGAAGACAUUCGUGCUUGUUUUCGUUUUCCUGAUCUUAGCUGCAUUUUACACAGUGACGUGGGGGCUAUUUAACCACCUCGACCUGCAGAACGUGUCUUAAAGUACUACAGCCUCGGGAAGCAAAGGUGAACAACAUGAAGACAUUUGCGCUGGUUUUUUUCGUUUUCCUGAUCUUGGCUGCAGUUUGCACAGAUGCCAAUCCCAUCAUGAAGGAGAGCGUUGCUAAGCAGCUCUUCCGCAGCAAGAGGCAGGAUAAUCCCUACGAGUGGGGGAUCAUGCUGGACCUGAUCGAGAGGUGCUGGGAGCAGAAAUCAGUUCCGGUGAUGGUCUAGCGCCGAGCUGGAGGGGACCGCGUCCAGGGGGCCCCCACAACGUGACCCGACGGACGCACGACAACAACGAAGGCGACGACGAGGAAUCAAAGACGAGAGCGCG